RNAcentral lists this ribosomal RNA (253 nucleotides) under uncultured bacterium. RNAcentral describes it as "partial 16S ribosomal RNA". It matches the Rfam family "Bacterial small subunit ribosomal RNA", at positions 524 to 776 of the family's 1533-position model. The record is from RNAcentral.
UACGUAGGGUGCAAGCGUUGUCCGGAAUUAUUGGGCGUAAAGAGCUCGUAGGCGGUUUGUUGCGUCGGCUGUGAAAUCCCGAGGCUCAACCUCGGGUCUGCAGUGGGUACGGGCAGACUAGAGUGCGGUAGGGGAGAUUGGAAUUCCUGGUGUAGCGGUGGAAUGCGCAGAUAUCAGGAGGAACACCGGUGGCGAAGGCGGAUCUCUGGGCCAUUACUGACGCUGAGGAGCGAAAGCGUGGGGAGCGAACAGG